GCACUGCUGCAGAUUCCCAAACAGGACGAAACAGCUGUCCAGUGC
This 45-nucleotide non-coding RNA is filed under the name Echinostoma caproni. Lineage: Eukaryota; Metazoa; Platyhelminthes; Trematoda; Plagiorchiida; Echinostomatidae. The record is from RNAcentral.